RNAcentral lists this signal recognition particle RNA (101 nucleotides) under Oscillibacter sp. RNAcentral's name for it is "signal recognition particle sRNA small type". It matches the Rfam family "Bacterial small signal recognition particle RNA". From Rfam's summary of the family: The signal recognition particle (SRP) is a universally conserved ribonucleoprotein involved in the co-translational targeting of proteins to membranes. Lineage: Bacteria; Bacillati; Bacillota; Clostridia; Eubacteriales; Oscillospiraceae. The record is from RNAcentral.
GAGCCGGUCUUGCGCAAUGGAUGCCCGCGAACCAUGUCAGGCGGGGAACCGAGCAGCAUUAAGCGGGAUCGUUUCAUGUGCCGUGAGGGCGCCGGCUCCGC